AUACGUAGGGAGCGAGCGUUGUCCGGAAUUACUGGGUGUAAAGGGAGCGUAGGCGGGAUGGCAAGUCAGAUGUGAAAACUAUGGGCUCAACCCAUAGACUGCAUUUGAAACUGUUGUUCUUGAGUGAAGUAGAGGUAAGCGGAAUUCCUGGUGUAGCGGUGAAAUGCGUAGAUAUCAGGAGGAACAUCGGUGGCGAAGGCGGCUUACUGGGCUUUUACUGACGCUGAGGCACGAAAGCGUGGGGAGCAAACAGGAUUAGAUACCCUGGUAGUCCACGCUGUAAACGAUGAUGACUAGGUGUGGGGGGACUGAACCCUUCCGUGCCGCAGUUAACACAAUAAGUCAUCCACCUGGGGAGUACGGCCGCAAGGUUGAAACUCAAAUGAAUUGACGGGG
Molecule: ribosomal RNA, 396 nt
Filed under: uncultured bacterium
Lineage: Bacteria
Description: partial 16S ribosomal RNA
Rfam family: Bacterial small subunit ribosomal RNA
Source: RNAcentral